AGGGUGUGUGUGUGUGU
Molecule: microRNA, 17 nt
Filed under: Corchorus olitorius
Lineage: Eukaryota; Viridiplantae; Streptophyta; Magnoliopsida; Malvales; Malvaceae
Also listed under: 2 other names
Description: hsa-miR-44
Source: RNAcentral